AUGAGAGUUUGAUCCUGGCUCAGGACGAACGCUGGCGGCGUGCCUAAUACAUGCAAGUCGAACGCUUCUUUCCUCCCGAGUGCUUGCACUCAAUUGGAAAGAGGAGUGGCGGACGGGUGAGUAACACGUGGGUAACCUACCCAUCAGAGGGGGAUAACACUUGGAAACAGGUGCUAAUACCGCAUAACAGUUUAUGCCGCAUGGCAUAAGAGUGAAAGGCGCUUUCGGGUGUCGCUGAUGGAUGGACCCGCGGUGCAUUAGCUAGUUGGUGAGGUAACGGCUCACCAAGGCCACGAUGCAUAGCCGACCUGAGAGGGUGAUCGGCCACACUGGGACUGAGACACGGCCCAGACUCCUACGGGAGGCAGCAGUAGGGAAUCUUCGGCAAUGGACGAAAGUCUGACCGAGCAACGCCGCGUGAGUGAAGAAGGUUUUCGGAUCGUAAAACUCUGUUGUUAGAGAAGA
Molecule: ribosomal RNA, 465 nt
Filed under: Enterococcus faecalis
Lineage: Bacteria; Bacillati; Bacillota; Bacilli; Lactobacillales; Enterococcaceae
Description: bacterial SSU rRNA
Rfam family: Bacterial small subunit ribosomal RNA
Source: RNAcentral